Molecule: RNA transcript, 3647 nt
Organism: Arachis stenosperma
Lineage: Eukaryota; Viridiplantae; Streptophyta; Magnoliopsida; Fabales; Fabaceae
Exons: 5
Source: RefSeq, a predicted model, not a curated record
GCCUCCAACCCCUUUCUCCCCCAAAACGCAAACACACACACAAACAGGGGAGGACUUCUGAGAGAGCUGAGGGAAGGAGGGAGCUUCACUGCGCCGUCAUCCAACCGGCCGCAUCUGUUGCCUCACCGUUGCCUCCUCCAUCGUGCGCUAUUGCCGGCCUAGAACCGCCGUCAAUCUCGCGCCGCCGCGGUCCCGCCGAGCUUCCGCCAACACUUCACGAAGCAGAGAGAGAUAGAUGGAGAAGAGUGCCGUGGAGGGGGGAAGAGCCGCCGAUUGCAGUCGCUGUUGGGUCCUUGUUCCUCACCGUUGAAGGAGCUGCUCCCAGCCACGGUGGUCGCUGAUGUUCGCGCCGCUGUUGGUGGAGGACCUGAGGAGAGAGAGACGACACGACGGGAGAGAGAGGGAGUCGCCGUGGAGCCACGAGCUGCGCCAAUCACCGCUGUGUCGCGUCGGAGAGGAAGGCUGAGACAGAGCGCCGCUGGGAGAGAGAGGAAGACGCGGGCUGGAGGAGCUGCGUCCAGUCGCCGUUGUCACUGGAGUUCUGAGGCCACCGGGACCACCGCCAGAGCUUCUGGUUACUCUGCUGCCGUGAAGCCCUGCUACUGUUGGGAACCUUGUCGCCGCUCACGGGGUGCGUCGGUAAGCCUCUGCCACCGGAAAAUGUCACUGCUGCUUCGUCACCAGAGUUCUGGUUGCCGGAGAAAACCGCCUUGGCUGCUGAAACCACCGCCGUCACGGUUUUCGUUAUCGGAAGUCGUCGCCGCUGCCGCUUGAGGUGGCUGCCGCCGAACUGGUUCGGAGGCCGCCAUUGUUUCGGUUCAGCCUUUCCUUCUUUGUUCGUGUUGCUGUGGUUACCGCGGGAGUGGCUUGGAGCCGACGUUGCGGUUGUUGGUGAUUUCGGUUUAAGAGAGGAGGUCCCUGUGACGCGUUUGGGUUAUGAUUUUGGCAUUUUGAGUUUGAAACGUUCGGUCUUCUCUUCUCUUGGAGCACGCUGCACGCCCUCACAGCCUCGCUUCGGUCUUCAAUCAUAGCAAAGGUAACAGGAAAUUAGAAUAUUUUAGAUGAGAAAGUAAAGUAAAAUAGAUGCAAUUUUUAAGAGAAAAGUUACUGAUGAUGUUGGAGUUCAAACAAGUCAACCCUCUAAUCUUAUUUUACAAGAAAUUCAGGUAAGUGAACUCUCUAAUCUUACUCAAAAUACACAUCAACAAAAAGCCAAAGUUUCAAGAUUAGAAAGAGAUGUUGAUAUCUCUUUACUAGAAAGGGAUCCAGGAAAGCGACGUCCAAUUUGGCAGUAUAAUGUCAAUGAACAUGAUAAGAUUCGUAGAGCAUACAUAAUAGAUGGGCCAUACCAACCAACAAAUAUUAGCUAUCCAGCUUCUAGUAAUAACAAUCACCGUCGAUAUUUUCAAACUUCUUGGUUUAAGAAAUUUUCAAGUUGGUUAGAAUAUUCACCAGAAAAAGAUGCUGCUUAUUGUUUGCCUUGCUACUUGUUUGGUAAACCUUAUGGUGCUUGCAAUAAUGGAAAAAAUACAUUUUUAGAGUUAGGAUUUAGUAAUUGGAAGAAAGUAAACAAUGGAGUGAAUUGUGCAUUUGUAUGUCACGAGGGUUCUAUUCCUAAUUCUCCCCAUAAUUUAUGUAUGAAAUCUUGUGAUGAUUUAAUGGCUCAAUCUAAGCAUAUAGACAAAGUUCUUGAAAGGCAUAGUGAUGAAACUAUUGCAAAUAACCGCUUAAGGAUGAAGACAUCUAUUGAUGGUAUUCGAUGGCUUGCAUUUCAAGCAUGUGCAUUUAGAGGCAAUGAUGAAAGUCCUGGAUCUUUGAAUAAGGGAAAUUUUAUUGAGUUAAUUAAGCUUUUGGCUUCCUGUAAUCAGAAUGUUAAUAAUGUUGUUCUUGAAAAUUCUCUUGGAAAUGCUCAAUAUAUAUCUCCCGGUGUUCAAAAAGAUAUAUUACAUAUCUUUGCUAGAAAAGUGCGUGCAACAAUUCGAGAAGAAAUUGGUGAUUUUAAAUUUUGUAUAAUUAUUGAUGAAGCAAGAGAUGAGUCAAAGCGAGAACAAAUGUCGGUGAUUUUGAGAUUUGUAGACAAGCACGGUUGUGGUCAAGAAAGAUUUUUUGAUCUUAUACAUGUUUCUGAUACGUAUUCUUUGACAUUGAAAACAGAAAUUUCAUCAGUUCUUUCUCGUCAUAAUCUUGAUGUUCAAAAUCUUAGGGGACAAGGGUAUGAUGGAGCUAGUAAUAUGCGUGGUGAAUGGAAUGGAUUGCAAGCUCUAUUUUUGAAAGAUUGCCCUUUUGCUUAUUACAUUCACUGUCUUGCUCAUUGAUUACAAUUAGCACUCGUUUCUGUAGCCAAAGAAGUUUGCUAUGUUCAUCACUUCUUUUCAAAACUUACACUAAUUAUGAAUGUUGUGACUAUUUCUCCUAAACGUUAUGAUCUGUUAAGGGUUACUCAAGCAAAUAAUGUUGCAAACUUAAUUGCCGAUGAUCAACUUGUGACAGGUAGUGGACUUAAUCAAAUUGGUACUUUGCAAAGAGCUGGAGAUACUAGAUGGGGUCUCAUUUGAAUUCUGUACGUAGCUUGCUAUGCAUGUUUGAUGCUACUUGUGAAGUUCUUGAAAAAAGCACUGAAGAAGGUAAUUUCUCCACUCGUGGUGAUGCUAGUGCUGCUUAUGAUGCUAUCAUAUCCUUGAAUUUGUCUUAGUUUUGAAUUUGAUGAGAAAUAUUUUGGAAGUUAGUCAAGAUCUUUGUCAAGCUUUGCAACGAAAAAAUCAAGACAUAUUGAAUUCUUUAACUCUGGUUUCUACUACCUAGACUUUAAUCCAACGAAUGAGAGAAUCAAGUUGGGAGGCUUUCAUAAAAGAAGUUAUAUUGUUUUGUGAGAAACAUGAAGUUGAAGUUCCUGAUAUGAAUGCAUUGCAUAUUCAUAGAAGAGGCCGAACUCGCAAAAUUGUUGACCAAAUUUUAGUGGAGCAUCAUUACCGUGUUAGUUUAUUUCUGGCUGUAAUUGUGAUACAGUUGCAAUAGCUUAAUCGAAGAUUCAAUGAUAAUAUGGUGGAGUUGCUUACUUUAAGUUCAACUUUAGAUCCCAGAGAUAAUUAUAAGUUCUUCAGUGUCAACAAAGUAUGUGAAUUAGUAGAACGAUUUUAUCCAGGUGACUUCAAUGACCAAGAAAAAUUUCACAUUAGAAUGCAAGAUCAACAUUAUGAACUUCAUGUUCCUAAUCAUGUUGAGUUAACUAACUUGUGCACAAUUUCGGAGUUAUGUCAAGGAUUAACGUAGACAGAAAAGUCUUUAACAUAUCCUUUGAUUGAUCGUUUGAUUCGCUUGGUAUUAACUCUCUCUGUUUUAACUACUACAACUGAGAGAUCUUUUUAACUAUGAAUAUUAUGAAGAAUAGACUCAGAAAUAAAAUGGAAGAUGAAUUUCUUGCUAAUUGUCUUUUGAUUUACAUUGAGAAGAAGAUUGCUGAAAGAUUUGACACCGAUUCUAUUAUCGAUGACUUUUAUGAUAUGAAGAAUCGACGUGUACCACUUCGUUAGUAAAAAGUAUGCAUAUUUUGUUUGUACUUUAAAUAUAUAUUCUCUAUCGGUAUAUUUUUGUAAUGCAUCUUACAUUAUAAUUUAUUUACAUAUUUUUUUAAUAUUAUAUAUUUUAUU